CUGUUUUGUACCCAAGGCAAUGAAUAUUGUCUCUUUCAGAAUGUUUAGUAUAUUAGCCUCUAGCCUUAAUGCUUACAACCACUUUAUAUUGCAUUCAGAUUCUGGUUCUUAUAAACAGUGUUUCUGAACAUUCAGGAAUCUCCUGAACUCUGUUAACAAAAUUGGACAACUGAACUCAGGUAUGAAGGGAGAUUGUGAGGAACAUAAUAACAUCAUGUAGAAGUCAGUCUGAGGAUCUGAUUGCUUUGGUUUCUUUCAUAUUAAACGGGAAAAGUGUUUAAUACAUUAAAAACUGUUUACUGUCAAUGCUGGAACAUUAAACACUGUGUUGAAAAGUUUUAUACAGUAGUAGUGCCUUUCAGAGUUUGGGGGAGACGUUGUUUUUAAGGUGUCUGAGUCAGAGAUCAGUUUUGUCAAGUUUUGUCCCUUUAAAAAACCACUGAUAAUACACAUGGUGUGGUGUGUUGUUUGGAGGGAGUAAUGGUGCAUAAGUCAGCUGGAAGGCAAAUGUGCAUCUGGAACGCAUAAGCCACUGAGGGAAUGUCUAAACCACGGGCUCACAGUCACUGGGCACUCCUGAAAGUGGAGAUCAAGAAAUCUGCCUCAGAGGAAAUAUGUGUCUCCCCCAAAAGCAGAACACUCUGCAGGUUCAUAUUAAGUAUAGUUAAUCUGUACUUGCAGUUGCACUCAAAAGAUUUACACAACAUUGCUAGCUUUAUAAGAUCGAAAGAUUCCAUUUAUCUUGUUUUAUCAAGGUAAGUAUUAAAGAAAAAGAAAGUAACACAAGAAUACCAAUAACUGCUCAUAAUACAUACAUGUUAUAUUUUUUAUUGCAACUGGUUUUGUAAAACUUCCUGUAUUAAGUGCCAGUGAAAAGCUGAGGAAAAUCU
Molecule: long non-coding RNA, 890 nt
Filed under: Bos taurus (domestic cattle)
Lineage: Eukaryota; Metazoa; Chordata; Mammalia; Artiodactyla; Bovidae
Description: long non-coding RNA NONBTAT000670
Source: RNAcentral